Molecule: long non-coding RNA, 1108 nt
Organism: Capsicum annuum
Lineage: Eukaryota; Viridiplantae; Streptophyta; Magnoliopsida; Solanales; Solanaceae
Exons: 2
Source: RefSeq, a predicted model, not a curated record
GGUAUUGCUAUUUCUUAUAAUUUCUCAAUCGUUUAAGCGAAAACUUGGAUCAAGAAAAAACGAAAGAAAUUUAAAUAGUUAUGUGGUCAUUUUGCAAAACUUGUGAGGGACACAGUGACAGAUAGUGAAACCUGCAAUUUCUGAGAAACUUCCCGCGACCCCUUGAGAGCAAAAACUAUCCACUGAAAUGAUUUCAUUCAGCAUGUCACCUAAAUAUAUUAUUAUCCGAAAUUCUCUCCAUACUGUUACGUAAUAUAUCUAUACGUACACACACUCAAUUCUCAAUAUAUACAUCAAUGAUCAUAUUACAAUGAUUGCUAAAUACUAAAUCCUAGUAGUAUGAUAUGUGAUUGGAGUCUUUUCUAAUUGGGACCAAAUCUUCAGUUAUGAUUUUCAUUAAUUAGAAAUGAGAUUUCCGCCAAGACUUGCUGAAGCACAUACAAAUUCGAAAGUUCUUUGGAAAGCAUCCGAUAAAAAUGGAACGAUAGAAAGAAGACUAACACAUUCAGUGCAAAAGCACGGUGGCAGAGUAGACGCUCCAGCUGAAACUGUGAAAAUAAUAAGUCAAGAGAAUGUAACGAAGUUGUUGAUGAAAGUGAAUAUACAAAACAGUUUGGGGCCGGCACAUGUCAUUAUGUCGUUAGAAACACCGUUGGGGAGUUGAUAAAGGCUGCCAUUGAGAUUUACGUGAAGGAGAAGAGGCGGCCAUUGUUGCCUAGUCGUGAUCAUCAUUGUUACAAGCUUCAUUACUCUCAAUUUAGUUUGGAGAGCUUGAAACCAGACGAAAAGUUGCUGAAUUUGGAGUUGAGAAGUUUCCUUUUAUGUCCAGAGCCAAAUUCAUCCUUCAAGGACAAGGCAAAGGCCAUUGAGAAAUUUCCACUUAUCUUGGCAAAAUUCAUGGAUCUCUUAAUACAAAUUGUCAUUAAUCUAAGUAGUUUUUGGCCAAAAUGUCAUCCGCACUGGCUUUAAUUGUUACCUAAACAAACCAUGAUCAUGAGUCGUGACCAAUAAUAUUCUCCGCAUCAUGUAAAUUUUAAAUUUUUGUGUGUAAUUUACAAGUUUCACAAAGUUGCAAGAAAUGAUUAUGUAUACUCGAUGGUUCUUUUAA